GACGUAGGGGGCGAGCGUUGUCCGGAUUUCUUGGGCGUAAAGAGUUCGUAGGCGGCUCAGCAAGUUGGGUGUGAAACCUCCAGGCUCAACCUGGAGACGCCACCCAAGACUGCUGUGGCUAGAGUCCGGGAGGGGAGCACGGAAUACCCGGUGUAGCGGUGAAAUGCUUAGAUAUCGGGUGGAACACCAGUGGCGAAGGCGGUGCUCUGGGCCGGAACUGACGCUGAGGAACGAAAGCGUGGGUAGCAAACAGG
Molecule: ribosomal RNA, 254 nt
Filed under: uncultured bacterium
Lineage: Bacteria
Description: partial 16S ribosomal RNA
Rfam family: Bacterial small subunit ribosomal RNA
Source: RNAcentral